AUGGGAAGCAGGUUAAUAUUCCUGCACCGUCGUAUGAUGCGAUGGGGGGACGGAUCGCGGAAGGUUGUCUGACUGUUGGAAUAGUCAGUUUCUGGUUCAUAGGAGGUACUUAGGCAAAUCCGGGUACAUAAUCCAAGGGGCUGGGACGAGUGAACUUGUUCACGUAGCAAUCGGAAGUGGUUCCAAGAAAAGCCUCUAAGCUUCAGUCAUACGAGACCGUACCGCAAACCGACACAGGUGGGCGAGAUGAGUAUU
RNAcentral lists this ribosomal RNA (255 nucleotides) under Duganella alba. RNAcentral's name for it is "partial 23S ribosomal RNA". It matches the Rfam family "Bacterial large subunit ribosomal RNA", at positions 1418 to 1680 of the family's 2925-position model. The record is from RNAcentral. Lineage: Bacteria; Pseudomonadati; Pseudomonadota; Betaproteobacteria; Burkholderiales; Oxalobacteraceae.